Molecule: ribosomal RNA, 402 nt
Filed under: uncultured bacterium
Lineage: Bacteria
Description: partial 16S ribosomal RNA
Rfam family: Archaeal small subunit ribosomal RNA
Source: RNAcentral
ACACCGGCAGCUCAAGUGGUAGCCGCUUUUAUUGGGCCUAAAGCGUCCGUAGCCGGUCUGAUAAGUCUCUGGUGAAAUCCCACAGCUUAACUGUGGGAAUUGCUGGAGAUACUAUCAUGACUCGAGGUCGGGAGAGGCUGGAGGUACUCCCAGGGUAGGGGUGAAAUCCUGUAAUCCUGGGAGGACCACCUGUGGCGAAGGCGUCCAGCUGGAACGAACCUGACGGUGAGGGACGAAAGCCAGGGGCGCGAACCGGAUUAGAUACCCGGGUAGUCCUGGCCGUAAACGAUGUGGACUUGGUGUUGGGGUGGCUUCGAGCUGCCCCAGUGCCGAAGGGAAGCUGUUAAGUCCACCGCCUGAGAAGUACGGCCGCAAGGCUGAAACUUAAAUGAAUUGGCGGGG